RNAcentral lists this ribosomal RNA (448 nucleotides) under uncultured bacterium. RNAcentral's name for it is "partial 16S ribosomal RNA". It matches the Rfam family "Bacterial small subunit ribosomal RNA", at positions 29 to 523 of the family's 1533-position model. The record is from RNAcentral.
AGCGAACGCUGGCGGCAGGCCUAACACAUGCAAGUCGAACGAAGUCUUCGGACUUAGUGGCGGACGGGUGAGUAACACGUGGGAACGUACCUUUUGGUUCGGAACAACUCAGGGAAACUUGAGCUAAUACCGGAUGAGCCCUUAGGGGGAAAGAUUUAUCGCCGAAAGAGCGGCCCGCGUUAGAUUAGCUAGUUGGUGAGGUAAAGGCUCACCAAGGCUACGAUCUAUAGCUGGUCUGAGAGGAUGAUCAGCCACACUGGGACUGAGACACGGCCCAGACUCCUACGGGAGGCAGCAGUGGGGAAUCUUGCGCAAUGGGCGAAAGCCUGACGCAGCCAUGCCGCGUGAAUGAUGAAGGUCUUAGGAUUGUAAAAUUCUUUUACCAGGGACGAUAAUGACGGUACCUGGAGAAAAGCCCCGGCUAACUUCGUGCCAGCAGCCGCCGCCG